Molecule: small RNA, 762 nt
Filed under: Pan troglodytes (chimpanzee)
Lineage: Eukaryota; Metazoa; Chordata; Mammalia; Primates; Hominidae
Description: retained intron
Source: RNAcentral
CGGCCGCGCGCACCAGCCCCACGGUGGCCACGCAGACGGGCGCGUCCGCGACGUCCACGCGAGGCACCAGCCCCACGCGCAGCGCCGCGCCUGGAGCUCGCGGGAGCCCCCCACGGCCGCCGCCGCCGCCGCUGCUGGGCACCGUGUCGUCGCCCAGCUCGUCGCCCACCCACCUGUGGACCGGCGAGGUGAGCGCGGCCCCACCCCCAGCCCGCGUCCGGCAUCGGAGGAGGUCUCCGGAGCAGAGCCGAAGCUCGCCGGAGAAGAGGAGCCCCAGCGCCCCGGUUUGCAAAGCAGGUGACAAAACACGACAGCCUUCUUCAAGCCCCUCCAGUAUUAUCCGACGCACUUCCUCCCUGGAUACUCUUGCUGCACCGUAUCUUGCUGGACACUGGCCUCGGGAUAGCCAUGGGCAAGCUGCACCUUGCAUGAGGGACAAAGCUACACAGACAGAGAGUGCAUGGGCUGAAGAAUACUCUGAAAAGAAGAAAGGGUCUCACAAGCGCUCAGCAUCUUGGGGCAGUACAGAUCAACUUAAGGAGGUCAGAAAAAUGGUUCUAAGAUAGUGGGUGUGGAAAUAUCCUUUUGUUGGCUAUUUCCUUGAUAUUACGGGCAGCAAGGAUUUGUCAUUUUCCAUUGAUUUCUUUUUUCUUUUUGGCUUCUUAAAUAACAAAAACAAUUAUUGUAUUGAUUUAAUAAAGAUUUCAAUAGGGAUAUUUAUAUAUCACUUACCUGAUUAUGUAUUUUUGUCUUUUUUUAGGA